GGACGAAAGUCUGACCGAGCAACGCCGCGUGAGUGAAGAAGGUUUUCGGAUCGUAAAGCUCUGUUGUAAGUCAAGAACGUGUGUGAGAGUGGAAAGUUCACACAGUGACGGUAGCUUACCAGAAAGGGACGGCUAACUACGUGCCAGCAGCCGCGGUAAUACGUAGGUCCCGAGCGUUGUCCGGAUUUAUUGGGCGUAAAGGGAGCGCAGGCGGUCAGGAAAGUCUGGAGUAAAAGGCUAUGGCUCAACCAUAGUGUGCUCUGGAAACUGUCUGACUUGAGUGCAGAAGGGGAGAGUGGAAUUCCAUGUGUAGCGGUGAAAUGCGUAGAUAUAUGGAGGAACACCAGUGGCGAAAGCGGCUCUCUGGUCUGUCACUGACGCUGAGGCUCGAAAGCGUGGGUAGCGAACAGGAUUAGAUACCCUGGUAGUCCACGCCGUAAACGAUGAGUGCUAGGUGUUAGGCCCUUUCCGGGGCUUAGUGCCGGAGCUAACGCAAUAAGCACUCCGCCUGGGGAGUACGACCGCAAGGUUGAAACUCAAAGGAAUUGACGGGGGCCCGCACAAGCGGUGGAGCAUGUGGUUUAAUU
This 587-nucleotide ribosomal RNA is filed under the name Streptococcus mutans. Its description in RNAcentral is "bacterial SSU rRNA". It matches the Rfam family "Bacterial small subunit ribosomal RNA", at positions 373 to 951 of the family's 1533-position model. The record is from RNAcentral. Lineage: Bacteria; Bacillati; Bacillota; Bacilli; Lactobacillales; Streptococcaceae.